RNAcentral lists this transfer RNA (85 nucleotides) under Felis catus (domestic cat). It matches the Rfam family "tRNA". From Rfam's summary of the family: Transfer RNA (tRNA) molecules are approximately 80 nucleotides in length. The record is from Rfam by way of RNAcentral. Lineage: Eukaryota; Metazoa; Chordata; Mammalia; Carnivora; Felidae.
GCCUGGGUGGCUCAGUCGGUUAAGUGUCCGACUUCGGCUCAGGUCAUGAUCUCACGGUUCAUGGGUUCGAGUCCCACCUCUGGCU